CCCAUGAACCACAAGAUCAUGACCUGAGCCGAAGUCAGACACUCAACCAACUGAGCCACCCAGGUGCUCCCUGACUCUUACAUUUUUAGAUUACACUCUUUCUAAAAAGUUUUUUCCUCUGAUGUUCCAAAAGUACCACAUGCUCAUUGUAGGCAAUUUGAUCAGUAUCAAAAACUAUAAUGAAUAAGAAAUAAGGGGAGAAUAUCCUUUUUAAGAACAUGGAGACAGGAUUGGAAAGCUGAUCCAGGGAUUGCAGGUGUGGGAAUGAGAAAGUCUAUUUAGCCAGCAAACCCUGAAUUAGGUUCUUCAGGCUGGAUUCAAGUAAUUCUUCUACCCUUAUGGACUAUAUGGCAUUGACUGUAUAUACCAUUGACCCUUGAAUAAUACAAGGAUUGGGGUGCCAAGUCUCAUUGAAGUACAAUAUUCAUGUAUAACUUUUGAGUCCCCCAGAACUUUAGUACUCAAGUAAUAGUCUACUAUUAACCAGAAGCCUUAGUGAUAACAUAAAGUCAAUUAACACCUCUUUGUAUGUUUCGUGUAUCAUAUAUUAUUAUAGUAAACUAGAGAAAAGCAAAUGUUACUGAGAAAAUCAUAAGGAAAAUACAUUUACAGUACUGUACUGUAAAAUUCUGCAUAUAAGUGGACCUGUGUUGUUCAAGGGUCAAACCUGUUUUGUUCAAAGGUCAACUAUAUAUAGAUAUCACUGAGUCAUUAAACCCAUGAUUUUGCUGAUAUUUUGUAAAGGACAGGGGUUGAAUGAGUAGAUUAACUCAGUAGUGCUCAGGCUGACAAAAAUCAUGGAAGGUGGUAGCUGAAUGAUUGGGGUUUGAAAGCCUGCUACAGAAUGUAGACCUUUGGCAACAAAGGCACAGGGAGAGUGCCAUGUGAGGACGGAGGACUGGAGAGAUGCAUCCAUAAACCAAGGAACUCCUGAGGCCACCAGAAGCAGGGUAGAAGCCUGGAACAGGUCCUUCCUAGUGCCUUCAGGGGGGAGUAUAGCCUACUGACUUCUUGACUUGAGGCUCUGGCUUUCCGAACUGGGAGACAAUAAAUUUCUGCUGUUUUUAGCCACCUGGUAUGUGGUACUUCAUUAUGGCAGCCCUAGGAAACUAAUGUACCCAUUAUCCUCAGCAGUGUCUCAAGACUUCAAGAAGGUCUUCACAGCCAGAGUCUGGAGAAUCCUGCAUUGGCCUUUUCCCAGCCCUACUCCUAAUGGCCGCUCCCUGUGACUAACUAGCAUGUGCUCGGUCAUUUUUGAUUGGAACUGACUUAGUUGAACUUGCGUGAUCGCUCCUACCCAGCUGAGAGCUCAGAAUCCCCAAGAAACAAGAGAUGGUAGAUGCAUUUCAUAGAAGAGUUGGGAGGAAGAAAAAUCUGGGUCAUGGGUGUGGGGAAACUGUGGAAGGGGGACAUAACUACAGACAGAGGGACGGGAACAAAGAGACUCCCCUUAUUUCUUUGCUGGUGAAGGCUUGAGGUGUUCUACCCCUGCCUCGACCCUGGUAUCAGUCCUCAAGGCAGUAUUUGGGGAGACAGGGAUAAGAGAGCUGUGUGCUUGUCCUGGCACAGCCAUGAACUUUGUGUCCUCAGACUAUUCAUUUAGUCUCAGGGAUUAGUUCCACCUUUAUAAUUCUGGGAAGACCUAGCUGUUUGAUUCCAAAUGGAGAAAUAGAAAAUUCUAGGAUGAGCUCACCUAUAAGAACAGCAGCGAUUAAUUGCCUGCCUCGUUCUGGUUCAUUUCCAGCACUGUUAUUUAUGUUGUUCCUCUUAAUUUUUUCCUGCUGUUUCAGCUUUACAAGGGGUAUCCAAUUACUUCCUCUGUGACAUUUUUUUUUUUUUAACUUUUGAGUGCCAGAAAUCUCACCUCAGAAGGGGUUUCUUUUUCUGGUAAAAAUCUCUUGAAUCGGUCCCUUUCUUUCUGUGAGGGCUGCUCCUGCCCAGGUCCAGGGCCUCUGCAUCUCAGGUCUAGAUUCUUAGAGGUGUCAUCCCUAAAAGGAGCCUUCCUGCUUCCCAGAUGGCUCAUUCGCUAUAUUGUGCCAGCCAGAAUCUGGGGCUCAUCCCUGGCUCGCUCUUUCCCCCCACCCCACUCCAAUUAGUUACCACUAAGACCUCACUAUUCUACUUCCUUGAUAUCUCUCAGAUCCACCCUUUUCUCUCCACCCUCACCUCUGUCACAUUGCUCAGCAGAACUACUGAUAUCCAAAUGGGGUUCCUGCAUUAUACACACCUUUCCAGACGGCAUGCACUGUCCCUAGAAUGUGCUUGCUUAUGGGCAGCUCACCUGUAUCAAAGCUUGUAAUAAAGGGCCCUACAAAUCCAGAAUAGAGUCUCAACUCUUCAGUGGGGCGUAUGAGGCCUUUUAGAGUAGCUCCUACUUGCCUCUCAAAGUCAUGUCCCUCCCACUCAUGCUCUUUUGGGUUCUCCAUAAAGCACGUGCAGCUCCUAGAACAGGCAACACUUUUCUUUCUCACCUCUGGCUCUUCCUUCUACCUGGAACACCUUUAUCUUUGAUCCUCACCUUCACUCCAUUCCUCGUUCAGGACUCAACUCACUGGACUUUUCUGGAACGGAGAAGUCACUCCACCUUCUAUGUCCCUCACAUGGUCUGUUCUCCGUCCCAUUUCUGCCAUGCCACACUGCAAGUCCCAUGGGACAGAGAGGGGAUUUGCUCACUGCUGUAUCCACAUAGAAGCCUCUCAAAAUUCAUCAGAUGACUUGUUGAAUGAAUGGAUAUUUAAAUUCAUGCAUAUAAAUGUGAAUGAUUGAAUGAGUGGAGACGUUUGCAUAGCAUCAUGAUGGAACCUUGUCUCUGCAUUCGUGUAAGCUGCGCUUGCUGCUCGGACCAAUAGGAAAUCUACUCUGAUGCCAGAGUCAACCCAUAGCAGGAUAAUUCAGGAAAAUUGAAUUAAAAUUUUAAAAAUAAUGGUUUUUAGAUUUUCCUUCCUGGAAUGCAUUAGAAAGUGAGACCGGAGACCAAGGCCGUCCUGGGAUGGCUUAGCGUCACCCUGGAGGUUGGGGGGAGAGCCUGGAAAUGACUAGAUUUCCCUCAAGCUCUUUGAAUCUGGUCUCAGGUUUAUGCUGGGAGCCUUUCCCACUACUCGACCAAGAAGUGAUUUACUGAACAAUGACCUCAUUUUACAUUUCACAAUAUGUGUGUCAUAUAAGCAGUCUGUGCUGCUGAACGGUUUCCUGUAAACAUUUACAAUGGUUUGAGGCACUGGGGCCAGUCCCCAGUAGUUCUGGGAAAGACUUUUUAGAAAACAAGAAGGAACCUCUGCCCCAACUGUACAUUGGACACUGCAGAGUAAUUAUACAGUAGAGGUCAGGCCCAGGGUGAUAAUUAGCCUUGGGGGUGCCAGAGGGCCUCCUCGCUUUUGCUCUCCCAGCAAUUUUCUGGGAGGAGACAGAGCUGAGUUUCAGCAGGAUGGAGGCCGCUGGGUGUGAAAUGCCCUCCGCUUCACACCGGGGGCCCAUGUGCCACAUGGACUAGACCUUGCUCCCAAAGCAUGGUCUCAGGAUCUACAGCAUCAGCAUCACCUGGGAGCUUACUGGAAAUGUAGGAUCUCAGAAACUACUCGGAGCUACCAGUCGGAAUCUGCGUGUUAACAUCCUGGCGACUCAAAAGCACGUUACAUUUUAGGAAGUCAUGAACUAGAACUAAGGUGUCAGGACCUCACUUGAGAGGCAGCAGGGAAGCACCUGUGAGGCUGGCUCAGCCCCUCAGCAAAACUCAGAACUAUAAACAUCCUGCCACUUCCAGGCAAACAUGGCUCCCGGCAGCUGUUGUCCAAAUACAACAUGAGCCAGAUGCCAUUCCAGAUCCCUAAUCCAGCUUUCAUCAGACCUAAUUCCCUACCACCUCUCAUGAGAGGGACCAGAGAGACUUGGAUGACAUUAGGAUUGCAUAACUACACUUCUCAUGAAGUUUCUUCCACCUUAAGGCUUCGUUCAGCAUUUUGGCAUCCUGAUCCACAUCAAAACCUUGAUGACUUCUUGCUUUGGCCUGGAGAAAAUAAUUGAAAAGCAUGUCUACACGUCACUUCUCUGUGUCUCCAUGUUCCUGCAUCUUAAACAAGGAAACGAAUGAUCCAUUUUUCUGGAAGGAGGAGUUAUACAAAAUGAACUGAGAUGCUAUGAGCCUGGAUGCAGAAUGAAUGCCGAAAACACCCACUCUGUGAAAUGACUCAGAGACAGGCCAACUUCAGCACGUCGAGUGCCUAGGAGGGAGGUUGGCUGUUGUACCAAUUCAGAUACUACAUCCCCUACCCUGCCCCACCAGCCACAAGGGCCCGAGUGGUGACACAGACAGCUGACCAAAGGCUUCUCUCCUGGUCCAGGUCAAGGAAAGCUUAACUCUUGGGAUCAAAGGGAACAUUUUAAGAAAAUCUUCCUCCAGCUUGCAGCAAACUCUGGAGAUGGAGUUUGUGAAAAUUUAGCUGAGGGAUAUGAUUGGCAGACUGUUGCUAUGUAUUAUGUGGUAACCAGGAUGUUCCAGGACCCAGCCUUAAGUGCACUCCUAUUUAAGGCCACUCCCACUCAUCAGUCCUGGUGACCUGAUGUAUUUGGAGAGCAUCAAGACUGGGAAAUAAGGAUAUACUUCUCACGAGAGACAUGGGAAUUAAUUAAAAAGCAAUACGCCACAGGCAAAUUAGAAUCUCCUCUGAAUGGUUCCUCUUCUCUGCCCGCUUCCUUCUUCUUUCCUCCUCUUUUUUUCCUCCCUCCCCUUCCUUCAACAGACAAGUAGUGAGGGUCUGCUGUGGGGCCAGCACUGCCCUGGUGAGGGGGACUUGAUCAAUGAAGCGCAGGUCUUGUCCCCAGGGAAGUAAACAUGCAAGAAGAUCAAUGACAAUUCCGUUUAUAAUGGGGCAUGGAUGUUGGGUGCAAAUCGCUGAGAGGAAGAAGGGGAAUUUUUAGGGAGAAGUUGACAUCUGUGCUCGUUCAUGAAAUAUGAGUUAGGCAAGCAUAAUACAUACGUAUGUACAUACACACAUAUAUACGUACAUACAUACAUAUGUACACAA
Felis catus (domestic cat) is the source of this 5021-nucleotide long non-coding RNA. RefSeq lists it as uncharacterized. Lineage: Eukaryota; Metazoa; Chordata; Mammalia; Carnivora; Felidae. The record is from RefSeq and is a predicted model, not a curated record. The transcript has 6 exons.